This 404-nucleotide ribosomal RNA is filed under the name uncultured bacterium. Its description in RNAcentral is "bacterial SSU rRNA". It matches the Rfam family "Bacterial small subunit ribosomal RNA", at positions 355 to 776 of the family's 1533-position model. The record is from RNAcentral.
UGGGGAAUCUUGCACAAUGGGGGAAACCCUGAUGCAGCGACGCCGCGUGAGCGAUGAAGCCCUUCGGGGUGUAAAGCUCUUUCGACCGGAACGAUAAUGACGGUACCGGGAGAAGAAGCUGCGGCUAACUACGUGCCAGCAGCCGCGGUAAUACGUAGGCAGCGAGCGUUGUUCGGAGUUACUGGGCGUAAAGCGUGCGUAGGCGGUUUUGUAAGUUUGGUGUGAAAUCUCCCGGCUCAACUGGGAGGGUGCGCCGAAAACUGCAAGGCUGGAGUGUGGGAGAGGUAGGCGGAAUUCCUGGUGUAGCGGUGAAAUGCGUAGAUAUCAGGAGGAACACCUGUGGUGUAGACGGCUUACUGGACCAUGACUGACGCUGAGGCACGAAAGCGUGGGGAGCAAACAGG